GAUCAUGGCUCAGGAUGAACGCUGGCGGCGUGCCUAACACAUGCAAGUCGAACGAAGCUCUUACGACAGAACUCUUCGGAGGGAAGAUGCAAGAGACUGAGUGGCGGACGGGUGAGUAACGCGUGGGUAACCUGCCCUAUACAGGGGGACAACAGUUGGAAACGACUGCUAAUACCGCAUAAGCGCACAGUACCGCAUGGUACAGAGCGAAAAACUCCGGUGGUAUAGGAUGGGCCCGCG
This 240-nucleotide ribosomal RNA is filed under the name uncultured bacterium. Its description in RNAcentral is "partial 16S ribosomal RNA". It matches the Rfam family "Bacterial small subunit ribosomal RNA", at positions 15 to 235 of the family's 1533-position model. The record is from RNAcentral.